AUUGAGCGCUGGCGGCAGGCCUAACACAUGCAAGUCGAGCGGAUGAAGGGAGCUUGCUCCUGGAUUCAGCGGCGGACGGGUGAGUAAUGCCUAGGAAUCUGCCCGGUAGUGGGGGAUAACGUCCGGAAACGGGCGCUAAUACCGCAUACGUCCUGAGGGAGAAAGUGGGGGAUCUUCGGACCUCACGCUAUCAGAUGAGCCUAGGUCGGAUUAGCUAGUUGGUGGGGUAAAGGCCUACCAAGGCGACGAUCCGUAACUGGUCUGAGAGGAUGAUCAGUCACACUGGAACUGAGACACGGUCCAGACUCCUACGGGAGGCAGCAGUGGGGAAUAUUGGACAAUGGGCGAAAGCCUGAUCCAGCCAUGCCGCGUGUGUGAAGAAGGUCUUCGGAUUGUAAAGCACUUUAAGUUGGGAGGAAGGGCAGUAAGUUAAUACCUUGCUGUUUUGACGUUACCAACAGAAUAAGCACCGGCUAACUUCGUG
Molecule: ribosomal RNA, 484 nt
Filed under: uncultured bacterium
Lineage: Bacteria
Description: partial 16S ribosomal RNA
Rfam family: Bacterial small subunit ribosomal RNA
Source: RNAcentral